CCUAACACAUGCAAGUCGAACGGUAACAGGAAACAGCUUGCUGUUUCGCUGACGAGUGGCGGACGGGUGAGUAAUGUCUGGGAAACUGCCUGAUGGAGGGGGAUAACUACUGGAAACGGUAGCUAAUACCGCAUAACGUCGCAAGACCAAAGAGGGGGACCCUCGGGCCUCUUGCCAUCGGAUGUGCCCAGAUGGGAUUAGCUUGUUGGUGGGGUAACGGCUCACCAAGGCGACGAUCCCUAGCUGGUCUGAGAGGAUGACCAGCCACACUGGAACUGAGACACGGUCCAGACUCCUACGGGAGGCAGCAGUGGGGAAUAUUGCAC
Molecule: ribosomal RNA, 326 nt
Filed under: uncultured bacterium
Lineage: Bacteria
Description: bacterial SSU rRNA
Rfam family: Bacterial small subunit ribosomal RNA
Source: RNAcentral